This 440-nucleotide ribosomal RNA is filed under the name uncultured bacterium. Its description in RNAcentral is "partial 16S ribosomal RNA". It matches the Rfam family "Bacterial small subunit ribosomal RNA", at positions 338 to 795 of the family's 1533-position model. The record is from RNAcentral.
CCUACGGGUGGCAGCAGUGGGGAAUAUUGGACAAUGGGGGGAACCCUGAUCCAGCGACGCCGCGUGAGUGAAGAAGUUUUUCGGUAUGUAAAGCCCUAUCAGCAGGGAAGAAAAUGACGGUACCUGACUAAGAAGCCCCGGCUAACUACGUGCCAGUAGCCGCGGUAAUACGUAGGGGGCAAGCGUUAUCCGGAUUAACUGGGCGUAAAGGGCGCGUAGACGGUGCAGCAAGUAGGGUGUGAAAGGUCGGGGCCCAACCCCCGGACUGCAUUGGAAACUGUUGAACUGGAGUACAGGAGAGGUAAGCGGAAUGCCUGGUGUAGCGGUGAAAUGCGUAGAGAUUAAGAGGAACACCAAUGGUGAAGGCGGCUUACUGGACUGUAACUGACGUUGAGGCACGAAAGCGUGGGGAGCGAACAGGAUUAGAUACCCCAGUAGUC